GUUUAGUUGGAACUCUAGCGCGAUCCGACACGGCGCCUCGUGCAGCGGCUAAGUCCCGUUCAAGGUCACCCGCCAAGAUGGCGGCGCACACAGCCAUGAAGAACUGGGCAGCCUAGGCAGUUAUGCAGAGAUGAAGAGGCUUGCGCAGGAUCGACUAGCCUGGCCAGGUGCAUCAAAUCAUUUUUCUUACUGAUGGUGACGACAAUAAUAACAACAACAAACAAACAAAUGUAAUAUUGUUCCGGCAUACAAUCAAGUGCCGGCACGCCAGUCGGGAACGUUAGAGCAGAGUGGGCUGUGAAGAAGACGUCAGCCAACUGCACACGGACUGACCCCUCUAGGAUGACAACCCAAUGGCAGCGCCCUCAACACGAAGAGUACAUAAGUGCCACACCGCCUGGCCAUGGCCCAUUUGAAGACUAGCCAGUUCACCAACUUUUACUGGCAUCAAUAAUAGGCACAUGUAUAGCAGUGACUUAGGAAAUGUAUUUCUUCUCUUGUAUAAUGAAUUGUAUAUACUGAACAGAUUGCUUAUGUUGCACGUCGCCCUUUGCUUGUGAUACAUCAUUGUAAAUUUCUCAAAAUUAAGUAAUGUCAUUUAUUUUCUGUAAAUCAGAUUCAUUAAUACGAUUUACUUGAAUUGUUGUCUAUCGAUCGAAGAAGCAGAUUUCCUAGGCACCUCAUAUUUGACGAGUAGGCAGGAUACAACAAAUAUGAUCAUUCCCAUAUAGUUUUAUAUGUAAUAAAAGUACUGUUUGAUGAACUCCACUAAAGUGUGCCGAAGGAAGAUGAAUAAAAUACAU
Schistocerca cancellata (South American locust) is the source of this 803-nucleotide long non-coding RNA. RefSeq lists it as uncharacterized. The transcript has 3 exons. The record is from RefSeq and is a predicted model, not a curated record. NCBI's taxonomy places the organism in Eukaryota, Metazoa, Arthropoda, Insecta, Orthoptera, Acrididae.